This 376-nucleotide long non-coding RNA is filed under the name Zonotrichia albicollis (white-throated sparrow). RNAcentral describes it as "lncRNA (ENSZALG00000010397.1)". The record is from RNAcentral. Lineage: Eukaryota; Metazoa; Chordata; Aves; Passeriformes; Passerellidae.
GAGCUUCCUCAGAGCUGCUCCUGCUGCACGAGCUCCAGGGAGAGAACAAAGUGGUCAGCCCAGGAUUACACCCUGAUCCAGAGCACGGGGAGAGCAGCAGUGAGGACCUGCAGAGCUGAGAUCCAUCCCCUCGAGAGCCCCACAAAUCAGCAGGACAAGCCAUUGCUGGAUCCUCCAUGAACUCAAAGGAAUUUCGGGGCUGAGGAUGCUGAGAGGGACAGGAGCAAUGUGGGGACAGUGGGACAAACCCUCCUGUCCCCUUUGCAGUGAGGGAUUUCCAGCAGCCAUCAAUCCCAGCCCUUAACUGGGGAGCCCAGCUGUGGGUCCCAAAACAAGGUGAGUCAUCCCUGCCCAUUUAUGGGUGGCACAACAGAGG